This 969-nucleotide ribosomal RNA is filed under the name Bacillus subtilis. Its description in RNAcentral is "bacterial SSU rRNA". It matches the Rfam family "Bacterial small subunit ribosomal RNA", at positions 398 to 1319 of the family's 1533-position model. Lineage: Bacteria; Bacillati; Bacillota; Bacilli; Caryophanales; Bacillaceae. The record is from RNAcentral.
CACGUCAUGAUCAAGGAUGUUCUGUUCUCGAACUCUUUGUUAUGAAGCAACAAUCACCCCCGUUAAUAUGGCGCCGCCCUUAGCCGUACGUACCAGAAGCCACGGCUAACUACGGCCAGCAGCCGUGGUAAUACGUAGGUGGCAAGCGUGUCCGGAACUAUUGGGCGUAAAGGGCUCGCAGGCUGUUUCUUAAGUCUGACGUGAAAGCCCCCGGCUCAACCGGGGAGGGUCAUGGAAACUGGGGAACUUGAGUGCAGAAGAGGAGAGUGGAAUUCCACGUGUAGCGGUGAAAUGUGUAGAGAUGUGGAGGAACACCCAGUGGCGAAGGCGACUCUCUGGUCUGUAACUGAUGCUGAGGAGCGAAAGCGUGGGGAGCGAACAGGAUUAGAUACCCUGGUAGUCCACGCCGUAAACGAUGAGUGCUAAGUGUUAGGGGGUUUCCGCCCCUUAGUGUUGCAGCUAACGCAUUAAGCACUCCGCCUGGGGAGUACGGUCGCAAGACUGAAACUCAAAGGAAUUGACGGGGGCCCGCACAAGCGGUGGAGCAUGUGGUUUAAUUCGAAGCAACGCGAAGAACCUUACCAGGUCUUGACAUCCUCUGACAAUCCUAGAGAUAGGACGUCCCCUUCGGGGGCAGAGUGACAGGUGGUGCAUGGUUGUCGUCAGCUCGUGUCGUGAGAUGUUGGGUUAAGUCCCGCAACGAGCGCAACCCUUGAUCUUAGUUGCCAGCAUUCAGUUGGGCACUCUAAGGUGACUGCCGGUGACAAACCGGAGGAAGGUGGGGAUGACGUCAAAUCAUCAUGCCCCUUAUGACCUGGGCUACACACGUGCUACAAUGGGCAGAACAAAGGGCAGCGAAACCGCGAGGUUAAGCCAAUCCCACAAAUCUGUUCUCAGUUCGGAUCGCAGUCUGCAAACACCGAUAGAGUUCGAGCCUGGCUCAGGGCCUGCACACACCGAUAUAGUUGC